CCCGGCUCUUACGAUUCUUCGUUGACAGAAGUGUAUCGUUGCUAUUUCAGUUGUUAUUUUAACAGAUUUCAGAGACCUGUUUGAGUUCAAGUGGCUUCUUGUUUCUGCAGACAGGUUUCUGUUGUUGUGAUCGAUUAUCUGGAUUCUACAGUUUUUCCUGUGUUUCACCUUGAUCUGGUGCAAAGAUCAACUCUAGAGCCUCUUCAAGUUGACAGCGCAUGCAGCCUACAUCAAGAAACAAUCAGCCAGACUUCAUUGGGCUCGGGUUUCGAUGUUUCCAGCUUCCAGCCUCUUCCUGUUGACAGUGAAUGCAGUCUGGAUCUUACAACAUUUAGCCAGACUUCAUUGGGCCCGGAUUUUGAUGACUCUACAUUCCAGCCGCUUCCAAUUGACAGUGAAUGCAGCAUAGGUGAAGCAGCAAUCAGCCAGGCAUCAUUGGGCCCAGAUAUCGCUGUUUCGAGCUUCCAGCCUCUUCCGGUCGACAGUGAAUGCAGCCUGGAUCUACCAACAAUCAGCGAGACGUCAUUGGGCCCAGAUUUUGAUGAUUCCACAUUCAGGUAGCUUCAGGUUGACAGUGCUUGCAGCCUAGAUCAAGCAUCAAUCAGCCAGACGUCAUUGGGCCCUGAGUUUCAUGAUUCCACCUUCAGGCUGCCUUCAAUUACCAGUGCAUGCAGUCUAGAUGAAGAAACAAUCAGCCAGACGUCAUUGGGCCCAGAUUUGGAUGAUUCCAUCUUCAGCAGUGAAAACAACCUGUCACAAGACUACAGCCAGACUUUGAUGAAAUCCUUUGUCAGCCCUGUUCCUGGGCGCAGUGGUUCCAGCCUGUCUCAGACCAUCAGCCAAGUAUCAAGUAUUGAGGAUUUCAGUGAAUCCAUCCUCAUAGCCUAUUCCUUUCAGCUGUGAAUCCAGUCACAAGAUAUCAGCCAGAAUGAAUGAAAGUUUUGGCAAGAGCUCAAUUUAAACCUUAUCCCAGAUUGCCCAGUUUCUUUUUGAAAUAUACUAAACAUGUAAAAGCAGAAAGAAACGAUUUACCAUUACCAUACCCCCCUUCUGCACUUGUAAUGUAUUUUCUCAUUUCGGGUUUCUUUUGUAUUUCUACAGAUUUCUUCUUUGAAUUAGUCCCAGGAUAAUAAUCUAAUGAAGGUUGCAGUAGCUCUCCUGCUGUGGACCUUGGCUUCAUUUCAUUUCAGAUCUAUUCAGGUGCCAUUACUGUGUCCAGCAACAGAGAUCCAAGAUCUAGCUCCAGCCAAAACUCCAUCCACCUUGGUGACCUCUUCCUUGACUCAGGACUCAAGAUUAAGUUUGAACUUCAUGUAUAUCUGUGUUCAAUAACAGUGACCCAGCUCCAGCAAAAGAUCCACCUGCCCUCCUACUCUUUUCCGAAACUCUUAAAUGAUUGUCCCAAUACAAGCUGCUGGAACCAUAACCUGAUUCUGUGAAAGAGAUUUGUCAGUGACAUGAUUCCCAGUCUCACUGGUAGCCAAUGCAGUUCUUUCAGGACCGGUGUUAUGUGGUAGGGAAUUAAGCAUUGUGUGAUGAGCCUGACGCCUGUAUUUAGCACACACUGUAUCUCGUGCAAAUGACUUUGCUGAAUGUCCUGCAGGAGAUAUUAUUAUCAGAUUAAAGCACAAAAUGCAGCAAACCCACUAAGAAUGUUUUGGAGAAAGUGAAAACUCCCCAACACUGCAACCUUCUGCAAUACACAUAUUGUCAGAAGGGCUUUAUUCCUAGCAACAAACCUGGGUACUCUCCCAAUUUCAGUCAACAGAUUGGGAGGUACCAAACCUAAGGCACCGAGAACAAUGAGGAGUUGUCAACUUGGUUCUUGGGAUGUAAGCGUGACAUUUCAAAAGCGAGGUCUGCAUAUUUGCCAUGUUUUUCCUCAAUCUUGUUAAUCACAUUAGUGUCAAAAGGGACAGAAAAUUCAAUAACAGAAAUGAUUUCAUUCGACUUUUCAGGUUU
Haliotis rufescens (red abalone) is the source of this 1962-nucleotide long non-coding RNA. RefSeq lists it as uncharacterized. The record is from RefSeq and is a predicted model, not a curated record. The transcript has 3 exons. Lineage: Eukaryota; Metazoa; Mollusca; Gastropoda; Lepetellida; Haliotidae.